CCUACGGGAGGCAGCAGUAGGGAAUAUUGCUCAAUGGGGGAAACCCUGAAGCAGCAACGCCGCGUGGGGGAUGAAGUUUUUCGGAUUGUAAACCCCUUUUGUUAGGGAAGAUAAUGACGGUAUCUAACGAAUAAGCACCGGCUAACUACGUGCCAGCAGCCGCGGUAAUACGGAGGGGGCAAGCGUUACUCGGAUUCACUGGGUGUAAAGGGCGCGUAGGCGGGAUAGCAAGUCAGAAGUGAAAUCCUAGGGCUCAACCAUAGAACUGCAUUUGAAACUGUUGGGCUAGAGUGCAGGAGAGGUAGGCGGAAUUCUUGGUGUAGGGGUAAAAUGCGUAGAGAUUAAGAGGAACACUCAUUGCGAAGGCGACCUGCUAGACUAUAACUGACGUUGAGGCUCGAAAGCGUGGGGAGCAAACAGGAUUAGAUACCCUUGUAGUC
RNAcentral lists this ribosomal RNA (440 nucleotides) under uncultured bacterium. RNAcentral's name for it is "partial 16S ribosomal RNA". It matches the Rfam family "Bacterial small subunit ribosomal RNA", at positions 338 to 795 of the family's 1533-position model. The record is from RNAcentral.